AGGCUUUCAAGAUUGAUGGAAUCCCCCUAUAUUAGAGAGGUCGGGAAACCGACUAUGGUGCUACACAGGCAUGUGGAAUAAGCGUUACGGACCCGGGGGCAGUACCCGGCGCCUCCACCAAAACCGCCCAGCACAUCACAAACCCGCGUUAUCAGGGUUGUGAGGUUGGCCGGGAUCGAGGGGGCGAAACAGGAUCGACGUGCGUGGUAAAGAUGUGUUUGGUACCCGGCAUGGUACCGCCGUUAUCGGGCCGAAACUAUAGUUGCAAAUGACAACGAUAGUGGGCUUGCCGUCGCCGCUUAACAGCGGUUGGUAGCCAAAUUAAGUCCUCGGCCUUCACACGUCGAGGCGGGGUUCGGGGCGCACCUGGCAACAGAAGCGCCCCACC
This 388-nucleotide transfer-messenger RNA is filed under the name Denitrobaculum tricleocarpae. Its description in RNAcentral is "Alphaproteobacteria transfer-messenger RNA". It matches the Rfam family "Alphaproteobacteria transfer-messenger RNA". From Rfam's summary of the family: Bacterial tmRNA, also known as 10Sa RNA or SsrA, is named for its dual tRNA and mRNA-like properties. The record is from Rfam by way of RNAcentral. Lineage: Bacteria; Pseudomonadati; Pseudomonadota; Alphaproteobacteria; Rhodospirillales; Rhodospirillaceae.